GCGCUACAUCAGAAAUUCCUCUUGUGCUAUAGUACGCAUGUGUUGUGUUUGUGUCGAGGCGUGGCCGUCGGAAGGAGUGCGCUCAGUCGGAGAGAACAAAUGAUGAUGCGAGAUCAGUACUCCUAACACCCUAUCUCUUGUCCAAGCCAUAAACCUCACUCUGAUACUAAUUGUUGGAAAGGUCCCAAUGAUCUGACCGAACCGAGAUCCACGUGAAUUCAUAGGGAGUACAGAGCGGUGUUCCUGCAGCCUCGUGGCCACUCUGGUGCUUGAACAUAAGCUUGCUACUUAAAGCCCAGGUUCGUCCGAUCCAUGGCCUCCUUUCAGCUCCACUACCGAAGAUGAUUGCACAGCGUAUUCAAAAAAUAAUUUAUAAAUAAAUUUUUUAUACAGCGAUGUGAAAGGCAAGGCUAGAA
Long non-coding RNA from Oryza brachyantha (malo sina), 416 nucleotides. RefSeq lists it as uncharacterized. Lineage: Eukaryota; Viridiplantae; Streptophyta; Magnoliopsida; Poales; Poaceae. The transcript is spliced from 3 exons. The record is from RefSeq and is a predicted model, not a curated record.